This is a small nucleolar RNA of Nycticebus coucang (slow loris), 64 nucleotides long. RefSeq annotates it as small nucleolar RNA SNORD63. The record is from RefSeq and is a predicted model, not a curated record. The transcript has a single exon. NCBI's taxonomy places the organism in Eukaryota, Metazoa, Chordata, Mammalia, Primates, Lorisidae.
GUGCAGUGAUGUGCUUACUAACACAUCAUUCUGAUGGUGUGAUGACUUCCUGUGACUGAGUACA